This 331-nucleotide unclassified non-coding RNA is filed under the name soil metagenome. RNAcentral's name for it is "partial contains 5.8S ribosomal RNA, internal transcribed spacer 2, and large subunit ribosomal RNA". The stretch from base 1 to 120 matches the Rfam family "5.8S ribosomal RNA", at positions 35 to 154 of the family's 154-position model. The record is from RNAcentral.
GAUGAAGAACGCAGCGAAAUGCGAUAAGUAAUGUGAAUUGCAGAAUUCAGUGAAUCAUCGAAUCUUUGAACGCACAUUGCGCCCCCUGGUAUUCCGGGGGGCAUGCCUGUUCGAGCGUCAUUUCACCACUCAAGCCUCGCUUGGUAUUGGGCAACGCGGUCCGCCGCGUGCCUCAAAUCGACCGGCUGGGUCUUCUGUCCCCUAAGCGUUGUGGAAACUAUUCGCUAAAGGGUGCUCGGGAGGCUACGCCGUAAAACAAACCCAUUUCUAAGGUUGACCUCGGAUCAGGUAGGGAUACCCGCUGAACUCAAGCAUAUCAAUAAGCGGAGGA